Gorilla gorilla gorilla (western lowland gorilla) is the source of this 1707-nucleotide long non-coding RNA. RefSeq lists it as uncharacterized. Lineage: Eukaryota; Metazoa; Chordata; Mammalia; Primates; Hominidae. The transcript has 2 exons. The record is from RefSeq and is a predicted model, not a curated record.
CUCUGUCACCCAGGCUGGAGUGCAGUGGUGUGAUCUCAGCUCACUGCAACCUCCACCUGCUGGGUUCAAGCGAUUCUCCUGCCUCAGCCUCCCUAGUAGCUGGGAUUACAGGAAUGCACCACCAUGCUUGGCUAAUUUUUGUAUUUUUAGUACAGAUGGGGUUUCACCAUGUUGGUCAGGCUGGUCUUGAACACCUGACCUCGUGAUCCGCCUGCCUCGGCCUCCCAAAAUGCUGGGAUUACAGGCAUGAGCCACCGUGCCCGGACUCAGGAGAGUUUUAAAAUGAAUCUAGCAGCUAGAAAAAGUAUUAAUGGUGUUUCUCUCACCCUGGCCCAAAUUCAUAUGUUGGAAACUAAACCCCAAUGUGAUAGUAUUAAGAGAUAGGGCCUUUGGGGUGAUUAAGUCAUGAGAACGGGAGGCUGAAGAGAGGUGCCUUGCCCCUUCCCUCAUGUGAGGACACAUAGAAGGCUCCAUCUAUGAGCAACACACGCUUGCCAGACACAGAAUCUGCUGGUGCCUUAAUCCUGGACGUCUCAGCCUCCAGAACUCUGAUCCUGGAGAAACUAAAACCUUCUGCACAGCAAAAGAAACAAUCAACAGACUGAAAAGACAACCUACAGAAUGAGAGAAGGUCUUUGCAAACUAUUCAUCUGACAGGGGAUUAACAUCUAGAAUAUAUGAGGAACUCAAACACCUCAACAGCAAAAAAAGAAACAACCUGAUUUUUAAAAUGGACAAUAAUCUGAAUAGACAUGUCUUAAAAGAAGACACAAAUGGCCAACAAACAUAUAUUAAAAAAAGCUCAACAUCACUAAUCAUCAGAAAACACAAAUCAAAACCACAAUGAGGUAUCAACUCACCUCAGUUAGGAUGGCUAUUAUCAAAAAGACACACUCACAAAAAUGCUGGCAAGGAUGUGGAGAAAGGGAACUCUUAUAUGAUGUUGGUGGGAAUGUAAACUAGUACAUCAACUAUGGAGAACAGUACAGAGGUUCCUCAAAAACCUACAAACAGAACUACCUCAUGACCCAGCAAUCCCACUACUGGUGUUUAUCCAAAGGAAAGGAAAACAGUCAAAGAGACAUCUGCAUCCUGAGUUUAUUGCAGCAUUAUUUGCAAAAGCUAAGAUAUGGGAUCAACCUAGGUGUCUAACACAGAUGACUGGAAAAAGAAAGUGUGGUAUAUAUACACAAUGGAAUACUAUUCAGCUGUAAAAAAGAAUGAAAUCCUGUCAUUUGUGGCAUCAUGGAUGGAACUGAAAGACAUUAUGUUAAGAGAAAUAAGCCAGGUACAGAAAAUUAAACACUGCAUGUUCUCACUCAUGUGGAAGCUCAAAAAAAGAUGAUCUCAUAGAAGUGAAAAGUAGAACAGAGGAUAUUAGAGGCUAGGAAGGGUAGGGGGAAGGGAGAAAUAGGGAGAGAUUGAUUAAAGGAUACAAAAUUACAAGAGAUAGGAGGAAUAUGUUCUAGUGUUCUGGAGCACUGUAGGAUGACUGUAGUUAAUAAUAUAUAGUUUCAAAUAUCGAAUGUUCCCAACACAAAGAAAUGAUAAACUUUUGAGAGAAUGGAUAUGCUGCAUGCUAUUAUGUGACCACUAUACAUUUAAUGUAGCACAUCACUAUGUACCCCAUAAAUAUGUACAAUUCUGAUGUGUUAAUUUAACAAAUGCUGUUACAAAGAUAAAGCCCUGCAUUAUGCAUACCAGGCA